Long non-coding RNA from Ictalurus punctatus (channel catfish), 4767 nucleotides. The record is from Ensembl. Lineage: Eukaryota; Metazoa; Chordata; Actinopteri; Siluriformes; Ictaluridae.
UAUCUCUAAAACAAUGCCUCAGAGAUCAGUAAAUGUAUAGUGCUGUUCAAUAGUGUAGUUGAAACAUUUGCCAGUUGAACAUCUAGUACCUCUCAUAUAUACGUAUGUACCCACUUUAAUUUUUCAUAACAUGUUAUGUAGUGGUCAUUUUUCAAAAUAUCAUGUGGUGCAACUGUCCAACCAUUAGUACCAUUUUGAACACUUGCUUGAAAUUGCUUCUUAAUCUUUUCAUUUUUUUUUGUUAUUUUACCAUAUUAAGCACAAUUUCAAAAGUGCUUUGUAUUACUGACCAACCCUGAAAUCAUUUUGCCUUUCAUAGCUCUUUCAUAAUUCACUAACAAAAGUUCUGUUGUUCAUGUUACAAAAAUACCAUCUGGUACAACCAUGAAGAAAAAGUACAGGGUUCUCUAAAACUUUACUUGAUAGUAGCAUAUAGCAAACGUGUAAUAGCUUCUCCACCUCAUUUAGUUUGAGGCUUUGUCGUUCUUAAUGUUGUCCUGCAACACCAAAAUCUACCACUGCUGCUUUACACCUCCAUCCAUGUAAUGCAUUGAUAUACAAUAUUUGUCUAGGAGAUUUCAGUGCAGGUUUGUUCUGUUUGUUCCAUGGAGUUCUUCUGAUCAUUUAGUGUGAUCCCCCAAUCAUGUGCUGUAACCAGUAAUGGCAGUAACUAAGGGGGGAACAAUUAAGUUCUGUGGCUGAAAUAUUAAUCAUUGGCAUGGUAUGCUUAAGUGGAUACCAGUCUGCUAAAGUGGAUACUGCUUAAGUGGAUACUAGUUUGUAAAGUGUAUUUACCCAGGAGGCAGUGCAAAAUGUCGAACUUUAUUUAGGAAAUUAUUUGGAGAGUACUAUUAUUAUUAUUUGGAGAGUAAAUCAAAGUCGCACCACAUGAUCAUUUUUAAGAACAUGGACAAUUAAAGUUGACAAAAAAGUGCUAAAUUCACAUAACUGCGUGUUUUAUAUAAAUAUAUGUGUACACCACAUUCUAACUGUUUCAAAAUCUUAUUUGUCAGUGACCCUACUGCAGGAGUACAAGGUAUCUGGGUCUCUGUAUGAGUGCAGUGAGAGUUCUGUCCAUACUCAUAAGUUUAAAAGGUUGCUGUCAGACUCUUUAACCAUGUGUCUUGUGUCCACUCCUGCUUGUGGUUUUAAUGGACAGGAUAUCAAUACAUAGCCAAGAUUGGACAGCUGUCCAGUAUGGGGACUUGUGCAGGUUCUGUUGUUCUUUUGGCACCAUCCAAACUGAACCUACAACACACUGCGGCUGUAAUGAAAACCAGAAAUCUUCGAGGCCAAGGCCAUGGUUUUCUCCUAGAUAAUAGUGAGAUGCUCCCUUCAGGUGAGGGGGAAAAACCUUGCCCCUAGUUCACACAUCAUUGACAAACCAAAUCUAGUCUGUAUCAGCAGUGUUACAGUCACUGUACUGGUCUGUAGUGGUGAAGCAGGAGCUCAGUUUUUGCAGACAAUGUUGUCUGUUUACCGAUCAAUCUAUGUCCCUGUCCUCAUCUAUGAUCACAUGCUGUGGGUAGUGACUGAAAUAAUAAGGUCAUGAGUACAGGCUGUAUAAAUGAGGUUCCUCCUGCAGGGAAAAAAGUCCAUCCCAAGCACUGCAAACAUUCCUUUCGCUUCUCGCAACCCCAAGCCUUAACCAGCCUACAUUUUUGAAUUCCAGAUUUAUAACAUAGGACUACUGUAACAUUUGAACAUUUCAUUAUGUCAGUAACAUAAGUGACUAAAAGCUAAAGCAAUAUUCUUUGCACUGACGUACCAGUCUAGUGGAGGGUGAACUUGCCUUUCUUGGCACACCUUUUCAAAAAGUCAGGAGGUGUGUUUGAAAAGGUGUGCCUAUUUCAGCUGUCACAUCCAGCUUCGAAUGACUCAUAAGGAAUAAAACACUGGGCCAUGUUGUUAUAGGAAAAUAAUCCAUGCUGGGGUGGUGUGAUACCGCACAAUAUGAGGCAGAGCAGCCUGGUUUAUACUGGACUCAUGACUUAACCACACUGACAAGCUCUGAUUCUUUUUUAAAUGUUCUGCUGUCAUUGUGAUUGCUGUCAUGAUCUGCAUCUCAAAUGGAAAACUCUGACCUCUGACAUUCAAAUAUAUUUACUAAUAUAGAAAAUCCAGAAGACUGCUACUGGAAAGAGAUCUUUUAGUAGGAUUGAAGGCAACAUGAGAGGUUUUAAAAAUUAAAACACUAAAUGUAAUAGGAAAACCAGUUAGUGUUAGUACUCAAUAGCAGUCUAGAAUAGUGCAAAGUAUACUCUUUGAGACACAACACUAGUUUGUUUAGCGAAGGUAGCUGGAGAGGGAAUGGAGGUACUGACCACUAAACAAUUCACUGCUAGUACAGUGAGAAUUACUUUGGUGCUGAAUUAUCAUCCUACUAAUAAAAGAGUGCCUGAGAUUAUACCUAAAAACUCAACCAGCGUUCGGAAAACCCUGAAAUAGCUUCCCUUUCUGAGGAACCUCCACUCAUCUCCAAACAUCAAAGACAGGAAUGAAUUAAAUUGUCAGGCGAAUAGAACCUGUGGCACUCUUACAUGCAACAGUUCUAGAUGUCCCACGUGUAGUUGUUGUGAGCAUGGGAGCGAUGACUUGAGGAAAUGUAAGGGGAAGGAGCUCAUCUACACACUCAGAACUUUGGAACGGCAUGGAAUGAAUGUCAUGUAUUAACUACAGCUAUUACAUCAUCAAGCGUCCACUGGUUUCCGAUAUACUGAGACAUUUUGGGAAUUCCCAUCCCCAACACAUUAUACAGCGCUAAAAUCCACAAGAUGUUCCUUCACUUUUCGGAUUUUGAGAAUGUCCCAUUUAAGCCGAACCAUGCUGUCUCAAAAUAGAAGACUGAAAAAUGAUAAACCUUGAUUUCUGUUGUGACAUGAGGAUUGUUGGGUCUGAAUGAAAACAUGGACAUGGUCUCCUUGCAGAACCAGUUCAGGUGGGUGGUGGUGGUGGUGUAAUGGUGUACAGAGUGUUUGCUUGGCACAAUUUGGGGCUUUUAUUAAUACCAAUCAAGCAUCAUUUGAAUGCCACAGCCUGUUUGAGAAUUGUUUCUGAACAUGUACAUCUAUUUACACCCACAGUUUACCCAAUCAUGUGAUAGGCACUUCCAGCACGAUAACACUCCGUGACACAAAGCACAAAGUCAUCUCAAACUGGUUGAAUGAACACGACAGUGAGUUCAGUGGUCUCCGCAGAUCUGAAUUCAACUUUGGCAUGUGGCAGAACGAGAGAUUCAUGAGCUUCAUGAAUGUGAAGUUGACAGCAGUUAUGUGAUGCAUUUAUGACUCUCAAAGAACCUUGUGGAUGUAUAUCAUUUCACAAGUGUAAAUGCUUGGGACAGAAGAGAAUAAUAUGUUCUAGAAAUAAAAAAUUUUUUUUAAAAAACUUAGAUGAAUAAAAAAAAUAUAUAAUUUUAAAAAGCUAUGUCUUCCAAAGAAUGCACUGAUAUACACUGCCAUAAAUUCUAAAACCACCCUUAUUGUACAAAUAUUACAGAUCAUUUUUAUAGCAUUUUUUUUUACAUUAAUACAGUAUAAGUUAACUCACACAUACUGUAUUCGUAAAUCACGACAGUCAUUUAUCAGCGGUUAUCACAGGAUCUGUGCUCCAUUGAUAGCGACAACAUUCAAUAAUGUGUGAAGAUGUUUGGAGCUGGAUAUAAAUGUGCUGCUAGGAAACGCAUAAUACUGAUAUCAGAUCACACACUUACACUGCUACAAGUGUUACCUUGGGGUUAGGAUGCAGAUAUCAGGCUAAAAUUACGAAGCACUGAAUUAAAACACCACAAGGCCUGCAAUUAUAUCAUAAUCAAUUAGCAAAUCUAAAGCGCCUCACUAGAAAUUAUUGGGAAUAAGAGUGUUAUGGAGCAGAAGGAAACACACUGUGCUGUCGGUUCAGCAUCAAAACACUAGACACUUGCUUGUUCUUUCAGAAGUGGAAUGAACUUGAAUACAGUCGGGUGGCAACGACAGCUGCACUUCAAGAGUCCCCCUAGAGUGUCCCCCGCUCACUGACGGAGAACACGUCAUGGAACAUUCCCGGAACGAGCCAGCGUCCCACCCACCUUAACCCAGGCACGCACACACAUACAUACACACACCUGACAGACAAUCUAUGUACACAGUGAAUUUCACAACACCUUUAUAAGUAACAAUUAAUGUAUUAACUACUACUACUAAUAAAAUGAUCCCUGCCCGAACGCACGCGCUAUGCAGUGAAGCCGCUCCCGGUCCCUGUGCAAAUUCCUCGGGAUAUUACGCAGCAUUCCCGCUUUCCGCGCGCAGGAAAGUGGGUAUUCCCCCAAAAGCCGGAUUAUUCCAAUAAGCACAAAGCGCACGCACUGGUACAGAACCGCGCAGGGAAGAAGCAGCUCGAGCUCAGGAGUGUAAAGAGUUCGUGCUCUUACCGAUCUGUGAUCACGAUUGUCUUUACGGAGCAGCGUCCCAGAACAUCCCGAACACACCGAGGAAUGUCAGUCCGCCUCGCCUCGCCUCGCAAUCAGCCGUUCCUUGGCCGGGUGUAACAGGAUGUGUGGAGUUUCACCGUGUCUUCAUGAUGGGGAACGCGAAUGGAAAGUCGGACAGGCAAGGGCAUCACCAAAGGGAUCACACUGCUAGGUAAAUCAAUGUAAGCAUGGGAACUGGGCUUGGAGACAAUUUUACAGUCGACUGCGCUGUCCCUUCACAGUGCACAAGAAGGAAAUCUGCUUUUUUUUUGACCCUCAGGCCGUGUUUCAGCAGUGUCUAUUAACACAUAAUGCAGAAU